AGACUUUUUAAUUCCAGAAACUAGAGCUGUCAUUCUACGCUCGUAGUUCAUCCCCGAUGUUCACAGCUUGAUCUAUUUCAUUUCCCCCGUCACCAGGACUCAAUAAAGGCAGGAGGAAACAUUUCCAUAGCCACUGAAAGUAUUUGGCAAGACCUCCAGCAAUCCUAUGUCAGAGGGCCAAAGAGCCGGACACGCACAAGGCACUCGUGGAGUAAACAUCUGCGGCGCCCUUCUGUUACCCAGUGCCGGUGCUUCGAGGAUCACAGCCCGUCUAGCUAAGAAGAUCAUUCAGCUCGGUCUCAGGGCCCACGAUCUCCUUCAACCAGGCUUCCUGCCCACGGUGCGGAUCGCCGGGGAACCAAGUCAGAGCCAGGGAACGGCGGGGCGAUUCCACUGCCAAUACUGGGGCUCAGGGUGCGCCCUCUUUGUCUAAACCCGAAGACCAGGCAGCAGCAUUUGCCUCCAUCAGCUGCAUUUCCUCAGGCACCUCGGGGGGCUCUGAAGCCCAGAGAAUCUGUGAGGAAGGGAGGGCCCCCCAGGGGAAGCUGAGAGCGCGUUUUCAUCCCGGGCAUCUUACCCACUCGCCCUGCGAGUGCAUUUGCACAUUCUCAUCGUCUCGGUUGACUGGAUGCUCCUAGAAAGCACAACUUGUCUGGUCUAUUUCAGGCCUGCACCCGAGCUGCUUCCAAGGGGGGCUUUUCCUCCGACGAGCUCGGAGCCCCGCGGCAGCUCGGAGAGCGUCCCCGAGCCUCUCUCUCGGGGCAGGACGCGCGCCUCCCCCUGAAUUCGCUCGCCUUUCCGGGGGGCGGGCAGAUGGGGGGGGGGCCCGUGGCGAGCGCCGCCCGCUGCUGCUUCGGCCCGGAUCUGGCUCCGCGUCGCAGCCUUGUCGCCUGGGCUUUCGGGCCGUGUUAGCUGGGGACGCCUCAGUGCCGCUCCCGCGCGGCGCCGCGGGCGUCCCACACAACCUCGCUCGCACCCACGGGAGGCUUAUAAAAAGCCGCAGCAGCUGGGCACCGGCCACCGGAGGCCGACGCGCCAAGCCUCGCCUGCCUCCCUGUAGCUCGCGCCUCCCUCCGCUUUCAGAGGCAGGAGCCGCCCUUCCCCGCUCUCCC
RNAcentral lists this long non-coding RNA (1112 nucleotides) under Mustela putorius furo (domestic ferret). RNAcentral describes it as "lncRNA (ENSMPUG00000029963.1)". The record is from RNAcentral. Lineage: Eukaryota; Metazoa; Chordata; Mammalia; Carnivora; Mustelidae.